UUGUACCCAAGGGCCUGACACUCUUUGAUAGAGAAAGAUAGUCUUAUUGCGAUUCCUAUAAGAGGAAAGAGAAAAUAGUGCAAUGCUUUGUCUUUAUCACCGACCGGGUUUUUUUUCAUGGUCGGGUUAUGGCAGCUUAGGAAGGAGGCUGAUGGCGAUAUACAGAAAUUUAUAAGAGUGAAAGAGACAAAAUCCCGCAAGAUGCCAUACAUUAAACUGUCAAUCAUAUUGUCAAGAGUGCUAGUAAACAAUGUGGUUUUCUUAUUGUAGAAGUUUUAUAAAGUGAAUGAUUGUCUUUAUUAAGUAUUUAAUGGAGGUGUAAGAUGUUUUUACGUACAAUUAACAUGGUGGGGUGUUCAGUGGUUGCCUACAAAAGCAAUAGCUUGCGAAAAUAAGCGGGUGUAACAUUUCAUGCCUUUCCGACGGAGGAUGAAAUUGUUAAAGAAUGGAUUGCGGGAACUGGAAAAUCAAAUUGGAUGCCUCACAAAUACUCGCGUAUUUGUUCCAAACAUUUUGAACAACAUUGUGUCCGCAAACUGGGCAAACGAACUUUCAUCGAAAAGUUUUCUUUUCCAACCUUGUUCAUACACGAGAGGAGAGAGAAAAUUCUUUUCUUCAUCAUGUCAUGGAAAUCGUCCAUUCGUGCACGUCGUCGUCGUGGCAGUCUCAACAGCAUUCUGAAGCUAUUAUUGAACUUCAUAUAAUUGAUCCACAGGUUACAAGUGUAUGUGUAAAUAAAGUUUUCUUGACCCCCACAGUAUGUACAACGCGCAACACGUAAGAUUUUUUAUUUAAACAUAAAUAUUCGGUUUUAAGUAACAGUUU
This is a long non-coding RNA of Cydia pomonella (codling moth), 825 nucleotides long. RefSeq lists it as uncharacterized. The record is from RefSeq and is a predicted model, not a curated record. The transcript is spliced from 3 exons. Lineage: Eukaryota; Metazoa; Arthropoda; Insecta; Lepidoptera; Tortricidae.